Molecule: long non-coding RNA, 125 nt
Organism: Octopus sinensis (East Asian common octopus)
Lineage: Eukaryota; Metazoa; Mollusca; Cephalopoda; Octopoda; Octopodidae
Exons: 3
Source: RefSeq, a predicted model, not a curated record
AAUUAUAUAAAUUGCAAUUUUUUAAUCCUCGUGUAUAAGGAACCUCAUAAUUUUGGGGGCUUAUAAUAUGGAAAAAAUGUUUUGUAAGGUAUUAUAAUACUAUCCAUAUAGAAGAAACUCCCAUA